GACGAACGCUGGCGGCGUGCUUAACACAUGCAAGUCGAACGGAAAGGCCCUGCUUUUGUGGGGUGCUCGAGGGGCGAACGGGCGAGUAACACGUGAGUAACCUGCCCUUGACUUUGGGAUAACUCCAGGAAACUGGGGCUAAUACCGGAUAGGAGCUCCUGCUGCAUGGUGGGGGUUGGAAAGAUUGGGCGGUUGGGGAUGGACUCGCGGCUUAUCAGCUUGUUGGUGGGGUAGUGGCUUACCAAGGCUUUGACGGGUAGCUGGCCUGAGAGGGUGACCGGCCACAGUGGCACUGUGCUACGGCCCAGACCCCUACGGGAGGCAGCAGUGGGGAAUAUUGCACGAUGGGCGGAAGCCUGGUGCAGCAACGCCGCGUGCGGGAUGACGGCCUUCGGGUUGUCAACCGCUUUCGCCUGUGACGAAGCGUGAGUGACGGUACUGGGUAAAGAAGCACCGGCUAACUACGUG
Molecule: ribosomal RNA, 468 nt
Filed under: uncultured bacterium
Lineage: Bacteria
Description: partial 16S ribosomal RNA
Rfam family: Bacterial small subunit ribosomal RNA
Source: RNAcentral